This 2303-nucleotide unclassified non-coding RNA is filed under the name Leguminivora glycinivorella. RNAcentral describes it as "transmembrane protein 115, transcript variant X1". The record is from RNAcentral. Lineage: Eukaryota; Metazoa; Arthropoda; Insecta; Lepidoptera; Tortricidae.
AUUGACAGAUUUCUAAUGUCUAUUUUUCCCAAUCAACCGUCACAAAAAUGGCUGCGCUUAGAGUAUUUAGCCGUAAUUUACCAUAUUUUCGUCAACAAUUUUCAGCAUUACUAGGAAACACAUCUCCUUCAGUGAAAUUUAUUUGCGUUGUCGUAGUAAUAGGAUAUGUGUUAUCGUUCUCUGAAGAUGUCGUGAACGUUCUAAGUGUAACUCCAGGAUAUUUGUUGCCCCCUUCGUUUCAAUUGUGGUCUACUUUUACGUUCUGGUUUCUCGAGAUACACUUAUGGGAAGUAGUGAUCGACAUAGUAACUGUGGGAUUGUGUGGGAAGUUAAUAGAGCCGCUAUGGGGCCAAAUGGAAAUGAUGAAGUUCUUCUUUCUGACGAACUUUGGCGUGGCAUUUCUGACGACGUUUUACUACUUGGUGAUAUUUGCGUGCACAGGCCAGACAUCGUAUCUGUUUGACAUACAUGUGCACGGCCUGGCGGGGUACCUGGCCGCGGUGUGUGUGGCAGUGAAGCAGAUAUUACCUGACCAUCUACUUGUAAAGACACCCUUAGGCAAACUUACAAACAGAUCUCUACCACUUCUACUGCUUAUAGCGGCUAUAAUUUUAUGGGCUAUUGGAGCCCUGGAGGGCACCUACCCUUGCAUGUGGGGCAGUGGGACCAUUCUGUCCUGGAUGUACCUGAGAUUCUGGCAGAGACAUAGUAGUGGAACCCGAGGCGAUAUGGCUGAUAACUUCAGCUUCGACAACUUCUUCCCGACAGUCCUGCAGCCGAUAGUGCGGGGCAUCCUGGGCCCGCCGCACCGCUGCCUCGUGCGCGUCGGGCUGUGCGCGCCCAGCCAGCGCCGCGUGCACCUCGCCAUGAGCCCGCGCGGCGUCACUAUAUCCAUGCCCGGCGUCGAGCCGCAGGAUAUGGAGAGGAGGCGACAAAUCGCGCUCAAAGCUCUAAGCGAGCGUCUCUCCAAAACCUCAGAGCAGACGCGACAGAAGAACCUCUCGACGAAAGUGAACAUUGAGGCGGUGCGCAAGGCGCAGGCCUCCAACGUCAUCCCGGCCUUCCCUGCCGAGCCGGCGCCGCAGGAAGCCACGCUGGUGGACCUGGAGCCGCCCACGACGAAACACUCAUGAUCUAUCAGCUAUCUGUAGUUAGGGAUCGGUUGUAAUUAGGUACUGGGUUUAGGUCUGGUGAAUCCUCGCGCCGCUUAUGGCCAAUGUGGUAAAGCAAGACCAGAAAUAUAUGAUCUGCCAUGUUACGGAAUUUCAUCAGAACCAUUUUCUUCAUAUUAUACUGAUCUGUCACCUCAUACAUCAGAAUAAGGGUGCUGUUAUUAUAUCUUGACAUUAGUCAUAUAUUUCCGGUCAGGCUACAUUUACAUAAAGCCUGACCAUAAAUAUAUGACUAUUGUCAGGAGGCGCUGUUAGAGUGAAAGUUCAGUUUAGUAUGAAGAAAAUAGUUGUAAUGAAAUUCCGCAACGUGGUGCAUAGUCGUAUAUUUCUGGGCAAGCUUGGAUAGGAUAGAUAAAGAGUAGGUAACUUGACCGUAACUACAGUAACAAAUCGUUUUAGCAAAAAAAAUAAUCUGAUUUGAUUAGUAGUUUAAUACCCUAUAGCGUUCUUUUUCUGCCGUUGCAAGUUUAAAUUUGGCCAUUUACCGCGUGAGGACAUUGCUCGCUCUGUAUGGAUUUAUUCGCGCUGUAUUCGCCAGAUCUGGACGUACCGUACGCAUAGAAAAGGAAUGACCAGGCAGUCCAGCACUGUACUUUAAAUUAUUUGAAAUUCUAUGAAUAAUUUUAUUGUAGAGUAUGCCUUGAAGAACGCAAUAAGUAAGACUGUACUUGGUUGUUUACGUUUUUGUGUUCUUACAGACAUAUUUUACAAUAAUAUUUAAUAACGGUAAGAUUUUUGAUAAUUUAAAACACUAUAAAGGAAGUAGUGCUAAAGUUAGAAAAUAAAUCGUUAAAUAUUGUUUUAUAAAAUAUAUUUCACUAACUUUAGCACUGUUAGAAUUCUACUUUACCACUUUUUGACAGAUACAUUCUCUCAAUCGCGAUGGCCUGAAACGCCAAGUGCCUUUUAAGUCGAUCACCGAGAUGAAUUAUAAUCGGGUCGUAAAUGAUGAUCGGAACAAUGUUUUAAUUUUAUGGCAGCGUGGUCGCGUAGGCACGUUAGUGUACGGCAAAGACAUAUAUAACUCCGUAUAGACAGAUAGUCUAAGAAAAAAACGCACCUCAGUACUAUACAGAAAAAGGUACGGUGACCUAGAUGGCAUUACACCUUUGGGGUACGCUCAGCUAGAUG